This 469-nucleotide ribosomal RNA is filed under the name uncultured bacterium. RNAcentral's name for it is "partial 16S ribosomal RNA". It matches the Rfam family "Bacterial small subunit ribosomal RNA", at positions 329 to 794 of the family's 1533-position model. The record is from RNAcentral.
UCCCAGACUCCUACGGGAGGCAGCAGUGAGGAAUAUUGGUCAAUGGACGCAAGUCUGAACCAGCCAAGUAGCGUGCAGGAUGACGGCCCUCCGGGUUGUAAACUGCUUUUAGUUGGGAAUAAAAGGGGGCUCGUGAGCCCCGUAUUGUAUGUACCAUCAGAAAAAGGACCGGCUAAUUCCGUGCCAGCAGCCGCGGUAAUACGGAAGGUCCGGGCGUUAUCCGGAUUUAUUGGGUUUAAAGGGUGCGUAGGCGGCAUUAUAAGUUAGUGGUAAAAUAUUGGGGCUUCACCUCACUACGCCAUUAAUACUGUAGAGCUAGAGAACAGACGAGGUAGGCGGAAUAAGUUAAGUAGCGGUGAAAUGCAUAGAUAUAACUUAGAACGCCGAUAGCGAAGGCAGCUUACCAGACUGAGUCUGACGCUGAUGCACGAGAGCAUGGGUAGCGAACAGGAUUAGAUACCCCCGUAUC